Molecule: ribosomal RNA, 137 nt
Filed under: uncultured bacterium
Lineage: Bacteria
Description: partial 16S ribosomal RNA
Rfam family: Bacterial small subunit ribosomal RNA
Source: RNAcentral
UGGGGGAUAUUGCACAAUGGAGGGAACUCUGAUGCAGCGAUGCCGCGUGAGGGAAGAAGGUUUUCGGAUUGUAAACCUCUGUGGAGGGGGACGAUAAUGACGGUACCCCUUUAGGAAGCCACGGCUAACUACGUGCC